GAUGAACGCUAGCGGGAGGCUUAACACAUGCAAGUCGAGGGGCAGCAUAGGGUAGCAAUACUCUGAUGGCGACCGGCAAACGGGUGAGUAACGCGUAUGUAACCUACCCUGUACAGGGGGAUAACCCGGAGAAAUUCGGACUAAUAUCCCAUAACAAUAUCCGGGGGCAUCUUUGGAUAUUUAAAGUUCCGGCGGUACGGGAUGGGCAUGCGUAACAUUAGCUAGUUGGUAAGGUAACGGCUUACCAAGGCUUUGAUGUUUAGGGGUCCUGAGAGGGUGGUCCCCCACACUGGUACUGAGACACGGACCAGACUCCUACGGGAGGCAGCAGUGAGGAAUAUUGGUCAAUGGGCGCAAGCCUGAACCAGCCAUCCCGCGUGCAGGAAGACGGCGCUAUGCGUUGUAAACUGCUUUUCCAGGGAGAGAAACUUGCGCACGUGUUGCGCAAUUGACGGUACCCUGGGAAUAAGCAUCGGCUAACUCCGUGCCAGCAGCCGACGGUAAAACGUAGCGUG
This 515-nucleotide ribosomal RNA is filed under the name uncultured bacterium. RNAcentral describes it as "bacterial SSU rRNA". It matches the Rfam family "Bacterial small subunit ribosomal RNA", at positions 28 to 534 of the family's 1533-position model. The record is from RNAcentral.